GGACAACCUGCCCUUAGGACGGGUAUAAACCCGGGAAACUGGGUAUAAUUCCCGAUAGGUCUCGUCUGCUGGAAUGCAUCGAGAUCCAAAGCUCCGGCGCCUAAGGAUGGGUCUGCGGCCUAUCAGGUAGUAGUGGGUGUAGCGUACCUACUAGCCUACGACGGGUACGGGUUGUGAGAGCAAGAGCCCGGAGAUGGAUUCUGAGACACUAAUCCAGGCCCUACGGGGUGCAGCAGGCGCGAAAACUUUACAAUGCUGGGAACAGCGAUAAGGGAACCUCGAGUGCCAGGUUACAAAUCUGGCUGUCGUGAUGCCUAAAAAGCAUUAUAUAGCAAGGGCCGGGCAAGACCGGUGCCAGCCGCCGCGGUAACACCGGCGGCUCGAGUGGUAACCGUUAUUAUUGGGUCUAAAGGGUCUGUAGCCGGCCGGAUAAGUCUCUUGGGAAAUCUGGCAGCUUAACUGUCAGGCUUUCAGGGGAUACUGUCUGGCUCGAGGCCGGGAGAGGUGAGAGGUACUUCAGGGGUAGGGGUGAAAUCUUGUAAUCCUUGAAGGACCACCAGUGGCGAAGGCGUCUCACCAGAACGGACCUGACGGCAAGGGACGAAAGCUAGGGGCACGAACCGGAUUAGAUACCCGGGUAGUCCUAGCCGUAAACGAUACUCGCUAGGUGUCGGCCACGGUGCGACCGUUGUCGGUGCCGUAGGGAAGCCGUGAAGCGAGCCACCUGGGAAGUACGGCCGCAAGGCUGAAACUUAAAGGAAUUGGCGGGGGAGCACAACAACGGGUGGAGCUUGCGGUUUAAUUGGAUUCAACGCCGGAAAUCUUACCGGGACCGACAGCAACAUGAAGGCCAAGCUGAAGACUUUGCCGGAUUAGCUGAGAGGUGGUGCAUGGC
RNAcentral lists this ribosomal RNA (895 nucleotides) under uncultured archaeon. RNAcentral's name for it is "bacterial SSU rRNA". It matches the Rfam family "Archaeal small subunit ribosomal RNA", at positions 102 to 998 of the family's 1478-position model. The record is from RNAcentral.